CCUACGGGAGGCAGCAGUGAGGAAUAUUGGACAAUGGGCGCAAGCCUGAUCCAGCCAUGCCGCGUGCAGGAAGACGGUCCUAUGGAUUGUAAACUGCUUUUGUACAGGAAGAAACACUCCCUCGUGAGGGAGCUUGACGGUACUGUAAGAAUAAGGAUCGGCUAACUCCGUGCCAGCAGCCGCGGUAAUACGGAGGAUCCAAGCGUUAUCCGGAAUCAUUGGGUUUAAAGGGUCCGUAGGCGGUUUAAUAAGUCAGUGGUGAAAUCUGGUCGCUCAACGAUCAAACGGCCAUUGAUACUGUUAGACUUGAAUUAUUAGGAAGUAACUAGAAUAUGUAGUGUAGCGGUGAAAUGCUUAGAUAUUACAUGGAAUACCAAUUGCGAAGGCAGGUUACUACUAAUGGAUUGACGCUGAUGGACGAAAGCGUGGGGAGCGAACAGGAUUAGAUACCCUGGUAGUCCACGCCGUAAACGAUGGAUACUAGCUGUUGGGCGCAAGUUCAGUGGCUAAGCGAAAGUGAUAAGUAUCCCACCUGGGGAGUACGUUCGCAAGAAUGAAACUCAAAUGAAAUUGAGGCUGAGAGAGCGAGGACGACACGAGGGAGGAGG
RNAcentral lists this ribosomal RNA (608 nucleotides) under uncultured bacterium. RNAcentral's name for it is "bacterial SSU rRNA". It matches the Rfam family "Bacterial small subunit ribosomal RNA", at positions 338 to 944 of the family's 1533-position model. The record is from RNAcentral.